GAUGAACGCUGGCGGCGUGCUUAACACAUGCAAGUCGAACGGAAAGGCCCAAGCUUGCUUGGGUACUCGAGUGGCGAACGGGUGAGUAACACGUGGGUGAUCUGCCCUGCACUUCGGGAUAAGCCUGGGAAACUGGGUCUAAUACCGGAUAGGACGAUGGUUUGGAUGCCAUUGUGGAAAGUUUUUUCGGUGUGGGAUGAGCUCGCGGCCUAUCAGCUUGUUGGUGGGGUAAUGGCCUACCAAGGCGUCGACGGGUAGCGGGCCUGAGAGGGUGUACGGCCACAUUGGGACUGAGAUACGGCCCAGACUCCUACGGGAGGCAGCAGUGGGGAAUAUUGCACAAUGGGCGCAAGCCUGAUGCAGCGACGCCGCGUGGGGGAUGACGGCCUUCGGGUUGUAAACUCCUUUCGCUAGGGACGAAGCGUUUUGUGACGGUACCUGGAGAAGAAGCACCGGCUAACUACGUG
This 467-nucleotide ribosomal RNA is filed under the name uncultured bacterium. RNAcentral's name for it is "partial 16S ribosomal RNA". It matches the Rfam family "Bacterial small subunit ribosomal RNA", at positions 28 to 507 of the family's 1533-position model. The record is from RNAcentral.